RNAcentral lists this ribosomal RNA (470 nucleotides) under uncultured bacterium. RNAcentral's name for it is "bacterial SSU rRNA". It matches the Rfam family "Bacterial small subunit ribosomal RNA", at positions 63 to 548 of the family's 1533-position model. The record is from RNAcentral.
CGGAGCUUGAGGGAGCUUGCUUCUUUAAGCUUAGUGGCGAACGGGUGAGUAACGCGUGAGGAACCUGCCUCAGAGUGGGGGACAACAGUUGGAAACGACUGCUAAUACCGCAUAAGCCCACGGGUCCGCAUGGACCUGAGGGAAAAGGAGCAAUCCGCUUUGAGAUGGCCUCGCGUCCGAUUAGCUAGUUGGUGAGGUAACGGCCCACCAAGGCGACGAUCGGUAGCCGGACUGAGAGGUUGAACGGCCACAUUGGGACUGAGACACGGCCCAGACUCCUACGGGAGGCAGCAGUGGGGAAUAUUGCACAAUGGGGGAAACCCUGAUGCAGCGACGCCGCGUGGAGGAAGAAGGUCUUCGGAUUGUAAACUCCUGUUGUUGGGGAAAAUAAGGAUGGUACCCAACAAGGAAGUGACGGCUAACUACGUGCCAGCAGCCGCGGUAAAACGUAGGUCACAAGCGUUGUCCGG